RNAcentral lists this small nuclear RNA (337 nucleotides) under Anolis carolinensis (green anole). RNAcentral's name for it is "7SK RNA". It matches the Rfam family "7SK RNA". Rfam says of the family: 7SK was discovered as an abundant small nuclear RNA in the mid-70s but a possible function has only recently been suggested. Two independent studies have found that 7SK RNA binds the CDK9/cyclin T complex (known as elongation factor P-TEFb). Lineage: Eukaryota; Metazoa; Chordata; Lepidosauria; Squamata; Anolidae. The record is from Rfam by way of RNAcentral.
GGAUGUGAGGGCGAUCUGGCUGCGACAUCUGUCACCCCAUUGAUCGCCAGGGUUGAUUCGGCUGAUCUGGCUGGCUAGGCGGGUGUCCCCUUCCUCCCUCACCGCUCCAUGUGCAUCCCUCCCAAAGCUGCGCGCUCAGUGGAAGAGGACGACGUCCCAGGUAUAGAAGGAGUGUAUCGAGGUCUCCAGUCUUCGGUCCCGGGUAUACGAUAGCUGCGCUCCCCUGCUAAGGUCUUUAACAAGGUCCCCCAUGACCUUCUGGCAAACAAACUAGUCAAAUGUGGGUUAGGCAAAGCUACAGUAAGGUUCAUCUGUAAUUGGCUAAGUGCUUCCUCUU